GGAGGGAGUUUGAAGCCCUUCAGGAGCGCUACGCACAGGCCCAGGGCUCAGACGAGGCCUCCAGCACGGCAGAGGAGCGAAGUGAAGAGAAGUCUCAGAACGGCGGGGCAGAGGGAGAGAGUGCGGAGGCCAUGAAGGAGAAGCUGCGCGGGCUGGAGGAGCAGCUGGCCUCCUCCCAGACUGAACUAGAGGAGCUGAAGGAACAGGUGCGCCUCGGGGUGCUUUCCGUGGAGCAGCUCGAUAAUGACAGGGAACGGGACACGCCUGGAACGGGGGGUGGGGCUGAGGCCGACGAGGGGUUGAGGCAGGAGGCGCAGCAGCUGAGAGCGAGGGUCGCGGCGCUGGAGGCAGAGAUAGCUAAGAGAGAGGGCGAGGCAGAGGGCCAAAGCAGCCAGGACAGUGACACAAUCAAACAGCUGACGACAAAAGUAGAGGAUCUCCAAGCUGCCCUGGCCAAGAGAGAGUCAGCAAAAGAGGAAGGGGGAAAGAACGAAGGAGAAGGAGAGGGAGAAACCGUGAAGCACCUCCGUGACAGGCUGACUGAACUGGAGGCAGCCCUGGCAGAGAGCAGGGCUUCAGAGAAGGUGGACGCGGGGCGGGAGAGCGGAGCAGGACAUGUGGAAGGGGAGCUGGUGCGUCGCCUCCAGAUCCGUGUGGGGGAGCUGGAGGGAGAGCUGAGGAGGUGCGUGCCCAGGUCAGAGCUGGAGGAGGUGCAGGUGACCCUGGGACUCCAGUGCGAGCAGCUGGCCAGGGAGCGGGCUGAAGUGGCUGUCAGGCUCAACGAGGCUCUGCUGGAGCUGGAGCGAGUCAGGCCUCCUUCACAUCGAGAUGGAGAUGACGACGAGGAGGAAGAGGAGGAGGAGCGCUCAGAAAGCUCAGAGCCCUCAAUCACAUCAGAUCACUCCAGACGCACCCUGGCGGCAGUGAGAGAGGAACUGGAGGUAGCGAGGCAGGAAGCCGCGCA
Molecule: long non-coding RNA, 964 nt
Filed under: Myripristis murdjan (pinecone soldierfish)
Lineage: Eukaryota; Metazoa; Chordata; Actinopteri; Holocentriformes; Holocentridae
Description: lncRNA (ENSMMDG00005012252.1)
Source: RNAcentral